Molecule: long non-coding RNA, 331 nt
Filed under: Panax ginseng (ginseng)
Lineage: Eukaryota; Viridiplantae; Streptophyta; Magnoliopsida; Apiales; Araliaceae
Description: long non-coding RNA (PGIN_LNC005666)
Source: RNAcentral
AAUUGUUUUGUCUUAUAUUUAUUUAUUUAUGUUCGAGGAAAAUUGGGUGGCUGAAUUUUUUCAGCAUAAUCAGUUGAACAUCCUUUCCUGGUGCACAAACAAAAAUAUUAGGAAACUUCUUUUGCAAAAUCAAUCACAUUAUGUCAAUAGUGUGACUUAGAUUUAUAUAAACAAUGUACUACUGGUUCUGGGCAGGGGUUAUAUCAGUUAUUGCUGUUUAAAACAGUGUAAACUGAUACAUGUAUUCUGUUUAAAUAGGUGAGAUGUAAGUUUUUGUAUUACUCAACAUUCUGAUUGUUCAUUUCUAUUUAUGUGGAGCCUUGGUUUGGUC